AAACCCUUACCGAAAGCGAUUGGAGGGCAAGUCUGGUGCCAGCAGCCGCGGUAAUUCCAGCUCCAAUAGCGUAUAUUAAAGUUGUUGCAGUUAAAAAGCUCGUAGUUGAAGUUCUGGCUGCUUGACCCUCGAGCUCUGUAGCCGAGGGCUCAGCAGUCAUCCGCUUGCAAAUAUAUGUUCGCCUUUAACCGGGCGGCUAUAUGAGUAAGCAUUUUACCUUGAGAAAAACAGAGUGUUCCAGGCAGGUUUGUCCGGAAUGCAUUAGCAUGGAAUAAUAGAAUAUGACUGAAGUCGAUUUAUUGGUUUGAGGCUUUAGUAAUGAUUAAUAGGAACAGUCGGGGGCAUUGGUACUUGUCAGUCAGAGGUGAAAUUCUAGGAUUUGACAAAGACUAACAAAUGCGAAAGCAUUUGCCAAGGAUGUUUUCAUUAAUCAAGAACGAAAGUUAGGGGAUCAAAGACGAUCAGAUACCGUCCUAGUCUUAACUAUAAACUAUACCGACUCGGAUUCAGAUGAAUCAUAAAGUUCAUUUGGGACCGUAGGAGAAAUCAAAGUUUUUGGGUUCUGGGGGAAGUAUGGUCGCAAGGCUGAAACUUAAAGGAAUUGACGGUUUUGCACCACCAUGGAGUGGAGUCUGCGGCUUAAUUUGACUCAACACUGGGAAACUCAUCAGGGCAAGAAGAUUGUAGGAUUGACAGAUUGAGAGUUCUUUCUUGAUUGGUCUAGUGGUGGUGCAUGGCCGUUCUUAGUUGGUGGAGUGAUUUGUCUGGUUAAUUCCGUUAACGAACGAGACCUUAACCUGCUAACUAGUACACCGAUGACAAAUCGGUGAUACUUCUUAGAGGGACUAUGUGAUGUAAUCACAUGGAAGUUUGAGGCAAUAACAGGUCUGUGAUGCCCUUAGAUGUCCUGAGCUGCACGCGUACUACAAUGGUGCUUUCAUCGAGCUUUUCCUGAUCCGAAAGGAUUUGGGUAAUCUUUUUAGUGAGCACCGUGCUUGGGAUAGAUCUUUGUAAUUAUGGAUCUUGAACUAGGAAUUCCUAGUAAGCACGUGUCAUCAGCACGUGCUGAUUACGUCCCUGCAAAAUGUACACACCGCCCGUCGCUAUUACCGAUUGAGUGUAAAGGUGAACCUUCUCGAUAGGCGCAAGCUUAGAAAUUAAGUAAACCUUUGCACUUAGAGGAAAUAAAAGUCGUAACAAGGUUUCCGUAGGUGACCUGCGGAAG
Molecule: ribosomal RNA, 1225 nt
Filed under: metagenome
Description: SSU rRNA
Rfam family: Eukaryotic small subunit ribosomal RNA
Source: RNAcentral